Molecule: ribosomal RNA, 406 nt
Filed under: uncultured bacterium
Lineage: Bacteria
Description: partial 16S ribosomal RNA
Rfam family: Bacterial small subunit ribosomal RNA
Source: RNAcentral
AUUGAACGCUGGCGGCAGGCCUAACACAUGCAAGUCGGACGAGUGGCGGACGGGUGAGCAAUGUCUGGGAAACUGCCUGAUGGAGGGGGACAACUACUGGAAACGGUAGCUACUACCGCAUACCAUCAGAUGGGCCCAGGUGGGAUUAGCUAGUUGGUGGGGUAUCGGCUCACCAAGGCGACGAGCCCUAGCUGGUCUGAGAGGAUGACCAGUCACACUGGAACUGAGACACGGUCCAGACUCCUACGGGAGGCAGCAGUGGGGAAUAUUGCACAAUGGGCGCAAGCCUGAUGCAGCCAUGCCGCGUGUGUGAAGAAGGCCUUCGGAUUGUAAAGUACUUUCAGCGGGGAGGCGUUACCCGCAGAAGAAGCACCGGCUAACUCCGUGCCAGCCGCCGCGGUAAUUC